AUGUACGUGGAGCUUUACUUCUGAGGGAUAGGUUCGAAUCCUUUAGGAG
RNAcentral lists this transfer RNA (49 nucleotides) under Bolitoglossa dofleini. RNAcentral's name for it is "partial tRNA-Gln". The record is from RNAcentral. Lineage: Eukaryota; Metazoa; Chordata; Amphibia; Caudata; Plethodontidae.